This 1435-nucleotide long non-coding RNA is filed under the name Homo sapiens (human). Its description in RNAcentral is "HSALNT0096867". Lineage: Eukaryota; Metazoa; Chordata; Mammalia; Primates; Hominidae. The record is from RNAcentral.
GAAAGAAAGAGGCAAUUAUUCAAAGAACAUGAUACAGACUAUGACAGAAGCAAAAGUGGGCUGUGGCUAUUUGAAAAUCAGAGCAUCUUUUAAAAGGGAGACGGCAUCUGAACCUUGCCGAGUAGGAAUGUUCCAGAAGUAAGAGAGAUGACUAGGGUUUCAAGAACAAGGACCAGCACCUAUGAAGGCUCUGAGGCACAGACCACUGUGACCUGUGGAGAAGUGACAGCAAAGUGAAAGGCACGUUUUGAUUACUACCGACAUUCACAGUCUGGACACGGGUGACAAAUCUAAAGGGCCAUAGGAGUUGAAUCACUGCUAUGACUUCUGAAUGGAUCUGCUUCUGGAGAUGAGCUCUCCGCCUGUUCCCAGGAGGUCUGAGAGAUACCCUGGACAUUAUCCGUGAGAGCCACCUGCCAAGGCAGGAGAUAUUGCCCAUUCGUCCAACUGCCGCUGUCCUGCCAGUAUAUCGUCUGAGAUUACCAUCAGCUAAAUAUUGCAUUGUCUUUGGACAAUUUUCCUACAUUGUGACUCCUCACUACAUUUUCAAUGCUUUUCUAGUCCCAGACAAGCUACAGACUGUUAAUUUACACUUGCUUUUGCCUUGCCUGAGGAAAUUGAAAAUAAAUUUUAAUUUCCUAGUCAAGGGCUACGGGUGCUUUGUGUGGUUUGGAGGAAAAAAAAAUACUGUUAGAUGGAAUUAGGGAAUAUUAGGAGAGUUUCUGAAGUUAGUGAAGGUACACAGUAAUUGAUCACUUGCCCUCAUAGUGAGAGGUCAUUCCAAUGAGCAGAGGUUCUGUCAAUAUCUGAGAUCUGUUUGAUACCUGGCCUCAAUCUGUCGAUCACGCCCAGUAACCAUAUUCAUAGGCUUCAGAUCUGAAUUUUGAAUUGCAUCAGAAGCUUUCCUCUGGCCUCAGAGAUGCCAUUGAGACCAUUCUCAUAGUUAGUCACCACUCACACUACACAAAAUGGAAGAAAAAAACUUCCUUUGGGGCAAAUCAACAAUCUCUGGUAGGAAAAUAAACAAGGAUGCUUUCAGAAUACCAGAAGCCCAAGUCUGAGCAUCUGGAGGCAAAGGAAGAGUAGAGAAGUCUUUGUUGGUGGGACCACUGCCUGUAGGAAUUUAAGGGAACUUGGAUCUUAGGAGUUGCUCAGUUAAGUCCUAGAGAGAGCCUAAGUGGGACUGAUGAGAAGCAGAACAAAUUGCUAUUUCUGAGAAGAAAAACCAACACUUUUGGAUGUUAACUUUUGGAUGUUUGAAUUUUUUGUUUUAGUUUUUAUUCCUUUUGGGAAAAGCUAUUUUUAUCGCAAAAAAAUAUGUAAAGCUAGCAACAAAAUAGUUGAAAGUAUUUAUUGUGUACCUACUGUGUGAUAAUAGCAGCUGGGUUUCAAACACAAGUGAAUAUGAAAUAAAUGAGCCCUAGAUGCACAAAAA